CGUGCCAGCAGCCGCGGUAAAACGUAGGGGACAAGCGUUAUCCGGAUUCACUGGGCGUAAAGAGCGUUGAGGCGGUUCCGUAAGUUGGGCGUGAAAGCUCCGGGCUUAACCCGGAGAUGUCGUUCAAUACUGCGGGGCUUGAGGACAGCAGAGGAAGGUGGAAUUCCCGGUGUAGUGGUGAAAUGCGUAGAUAUCGGGAGGAACACCCGUGGCGAAGGCGGCCUUCUGGGCUGUUCCUGACGCUGAAGGCGAAAGCUAGGGGAGCGAACGGGAUUAGAUACCCCGGUAGUCCUAGCUGUAAACGAUGGAUGCUGGGUGUGGGGGGUGUAAAUUCCCUCUGUGCCGAAGCAAACGCGUUAAGCAUCCCGCCUGGGGACUACGGCCGCAAGGCUAAAACUCAAACGAAUUGACGGGGGCCCGCACAAGCAGCGGAGCGUGUGGUUUAAUUCGAUGCUACACGAAGAACCUUACCUGGGUUUGACAUGCACGUGGUAGGGAACCGAAAGGGGACCGACCUUCGGGAGCGUGCACAGGUGCUGCAUGGCUGUCGUCAGCUCGUGCCGUGAGGUGUCGGGUUAAGUCCCGUAACGAGCGCAACCCUUGCCCUUAGUUACAAGUGUCUAAGGGGACUGCCCGGGACAACUGGGAGGAAGGUGGGGAUGACGUCAAGUCAGCAUGGCCUUUAUAUCCAGGGCUACACACACGCUACAAUGGCCAGUACAAUAGGUAGCCAAGUCGUGAGACGGAGCCAAUCCUUAAAGCUGGUCUCAGUUCGAAUUGCAGUCUGCAACUCGACUGCAUGAAGCUGGAGUUGCU
RNAcentral lists this ribosomal RNA (816 nucleotides) under uncultured organism. Its description in RNAcentral is "bacterial SSU rRNA". It matches the Rfam family "Bacterial small subunit ribosomal RNA", at positions 504 to 1336 of the family's 1533-position model. The record is from RNAcentral.